RNAcentral lists this ribosomal RNA (472 nucleotides) under uncultured organism. Its description in RNAcentral is "partial 16S ribosomal RNA". It matches the Rfam family "Bacterial small subunit ribosomal RNA", at positions 334 to 797 of the family's 1533-position model. The record is from RNAcentral.
CACUCCUACGGGAGGCAGCAGUGGGGAAUUUUGGACCAUGGGGGCAACCCUGAUCCAGCAAUGCCGCGUGAGUGAAGAAGGCCUUCGGGUUGUAAAGCUCUUUUGUCAGGGAAGAAACGGUAGUAGCGAAUAACUAUUACUAAUGACGGUACCUGAAGAAUAAGCACCGGCUAACUACGUGCCAGCAGCCGCGGGAAUACGUAGGGUGCAAGCGUUAAUCGGAAUUACUGGGCGUAAAGCGUGCGCAGGCGGUUGUGUAAGUCAGAUGUGAAAUCCCCGGGCUCAACCUGGGAAUUGCAUUUGAGACUGCACGGCUAGAGUGUGUCAGAGGGGGGUAGAAUUCCACGUGUAGCAGUGAAAUGCGUAGAUAUGUGGAGGAAUACCGAUGGCGAAGGCAGCCCCCUGGGAUAACACUGACGCUCAUGCACGAAAGCGUGGGGAGCAAACAGGAUUAGAUACCCCAGUAGUCCCA